Molecule: small RNA, 1313 nt
Filed under: Pongo abelii (Sumatran orangutan)
Lineage: Eukaryota; Metazoa; Chordata; Mammalia; Primates; Hominidae
Description: processed transcript
Source: RNAcentral
ACGGGCUGCUUCCUUGGUUUGGUGCGAUCGCGUGAGACGCGUCAGGUGCUUGAUUUCCCUGAGUCCCGGUGCCUCAGCUGCCCAGUGCCCACGGUAAAAGUCUAUUGCACUGAGCAGUGGCAAACAGCAAAUGAGAUUACCAAAGAUUUGAACAACUGUUAAUUUAGAAAAAGUGCUGUCGUUGUAAUAACAACUUCUAAGAGACCGGCGGCCCUUUUCAGCCCGUUCGUAAGAAGGCAACAAGUUCUUCUCCUCUACAGAAGGAUUUUGCAAACAAUUCGGCAAGUUCCAAAUGAUUCUGAUCGCAAAUACCUGAAAGAUUGGGCAAGAGAAGAAUUCAAAAGAAACAAAAGUGCCACCGAAGAGUAGCCUCCAACUGAUUCUCCAGCUUGUUGAUUAGAGGUUCACAUCGACAACCAUUUAUUGGUGCCUAAGAGAGAAACAAAAAGGAAUCAAUCCCUUGUUCAUUCCUUCAUCAGGCUUCGCCCACGACUGAAGCGCAAGACCUGAAGGAGGCAAACGGCAUUGUUACAACCACUGGUGUGCGCAGCAUCUGUGUGAGAGAAUUCUCCUUGGACCAGGGGCUCUGACCUAAUGGAAUUUACAGCCUAGAGGGUGAGAGCAGGUGUUCACAUCAAGCAAGCACCUCUGGACCACCUACCAUCCUCCCAGGUCUUGUCCUGGGCACCACAGGGACUCGGAGACAGUCCACAGAAGUGAGGGAAUAUUGACCCUGAGGCCUCCAAAAGUAGUAUCCUAUGGCUGGGCAUGGUGGCUCACGUCUGUAAUCCCAGCACUUUGGGAGGCGAAGGUGGGUGGAUCACCUGAGGUCAGGAGUUCGAGACCAGCCUGGCCAACAUGGUGAAACCCCGUCUCUACUAAAAAUACAAAAAUCAGCUGGGUGUGGUGGCAGGCACCUGUAAUCCCAGCUACUCAGGAGACUGAGGCAGGAGAAUCGCUUGAACCUCAGAGAUGGAGGUUGCAGUGAACUGAGAUUGCACCACUGUACUCCAGCCUGAGUGACAUAGCGAGACUCUGUCUCAAAUAAAUAAACAAAUAGUAUCCUCUUAGUACUGCUGUGGCCCAUUUAAAAUCCAUGUCCAACUAGGGCCUAAGGCAAGGGUAUUUCUCUUUUCAGGCAAAGCAAACACUAAUGCUAUUUCUGUAACCACAGAUCAAGAGAACAGUAUGCAUAACAUCUUAUGCCUAAAGUUCCUUGUUUGUGUUGAGAAAAAGCCUCAGCAUAUACAAUUAUGCAUAAAAUAAACUUUCAUAGCAUGCCAUCCAACUUAUUUGUUAUUCGAUGUAAGCAU